This is a long non-coding RNA of Zonotrichia leucophrys gambelii, 606 nucleotides long. RefSeq lists it as uncharacterized. The record is from RefSeq and is a predicted model, not a curated record. The transcript has 2 exons. Lineage: Eukaryota; Metazoa; Chordata; Aves; Passeriformes; Passerellidae.
AAAACCAGAAACUUCCAGAGACACCCAAAGAUUUGAUCUGCAGCCUGGGAAGAAGCUUGGAUUGAUGGAAAAAUACAACACACAGGCAUGAACAGAAAAAUAAUAGAUAAAGCAGCUGGCCUGCUGAUGAGAUCCUUUCUUCUAUUCUUUUAGCAUAGUUUAAUGCCAUAGAUACAAUAAAAUAACAAACGAGCCCUGUGCCCCACGGAGUCAGGGCCUGUCCCUUCCCUCACCCUGCCCUGUGAGCAGCCCCGGCUGGGCUGGCAGCAGUGGCAGCCCCAGGCAGUGAGGGCAGCAGAGAGGGCAGGAGGAGCCCUGGGUGCCUCUGACUCACCCACAGCAGGGCACGGCUGGGCUGGGGCUGCUCAAACACCAAAGGUUUGGGCAACGCUGGGAGGAGUUUGGGGAUUCUUCCUGGCCUGAAAGAGAGGAGGAAAAGAAAAUUAUUGCACUGUGGAAGUCAAAGGAUCCAGCUUUCACACUUGUGCUCUGCUGGCUCACUGUGGGGUUUUAUCCAUGAGAGGUGACACCAAUUCAACAUAACAGUGCCCUUUCCCAGCAUUUCUAUUCCCAACCAUUUCAGACAUUAAAAGGAAGCUCAUUUUU